Molecule: ribosomal RNA, 484 nt
Filed under: uncultured bacterium
Lineage: Bacteria
Description: partial 16S ribosomal RNA
Rfam family: Bacterial small subunit ribosomal RNA
Source: RNAcentral
AUUGAACGCUGGCGGCAGGCCUAACACAUGCAAGUCGAGCGGAUGAAGGGAGCUUGCUCCUGGAUUCAGCGGCGGACGGGUGAGUAAUGCCUAGGAAUCUGCCUGGUAGUGGGGGAUAACGUCCGGAAACGGGCGCUAAUACCGCAUACGUCCUGAGGGAGAAAGUGGGGGAUCUUCGGACCUCACGCUAUCAGAUGAGCCUAGGUCGGAUUAGCUAGUUGGUGGGGGAAAGGCCUACCAAGGCGACGAUCCGUAACUGGUCUGAGAGGAUGAUCAGUCAAACUGGAACUGAGACACGGUCCAGACUCCUACGGGAGGCAGCAGUGGGGAAUAUUGGACAAUGGGCGAAAGCCUGAUCCAGCCAUGCCGCGUGUGUGAAGAAGGUCUUCGGAUUGUAAAGCACUUUAAGUUGGGAGGAAGGGCAGUAAGUUAAUACCUUGCUGUUUUGACGUUACCAACAGAAUAAGCACCGGCUAACUUCGUG